UGUUGGUCCCCCCGCGACGAUACUUCGCAAAUCCCGCCAGGUCCGGAAGGAAGCAACGGUAGUGGAGGAUUCGGGUGCCGGGGUGUGGCUGGCAGGG
This 97-nucleotide signal recognition particle RNA is filed under the name Oleiagrimonas citrea. RNAcentral's name for it is "signal recognition particle sRNA small type". It matches the Rfam family "Bacterial small signal recognition particle RNA". From Rfam's summary of the family: The signal recognition particle (SRP) is a universally conserved ribonucleoprotein involved in the co-translational targeting of proteins to membranes. The record is from RNAcentral. Lineage: Bacteria; Pseudomonadati; Pseudomonadota; Gammaproteobacteria; Lysobacterales; Rhodanobacteraceae. RNAcentral also lists the same sequence under 1 other name.